Molecule: long non-coding RNA, 366 nt
Filed under: Coturnix japonica (Japanese quail)
Lineage: Eukaryota; Metazoa; Chordata; Aves; Galliformes; Phasianidae
Description: lncRNA (ENSCJPG00005003272.1)
Source: RNAcentral
UAAGAGCUGUGCUCCUAAUGAGGAGCAUGUGAGAGACAGGCUGGGUAGCUACUGGUGUCUGCUCUUUCUCUAUGCCUGGCCCCUUCUUCAGAGCUUGAAUAACUUCCCCUCUUCCCCCGAGAGAAGCUCUUCAGAAAAUGUCAUGCCAGGGUGCUGUGUUUAUUGACUUUCAGAAUUAAAUUGCUCUAUGUACCAGCAGAGAUAUUUUUCCCCUAACUGCUGACUCCAUGGAUUCUCUCUGGGCAUUGAUGAAUGUGGUGUGCAAACACCGUAGCUGCUGUGGCCAGCCUCUCUGGAAGAAUUAAGAGUGUAUUCCUGCUGUUCAAACUGCUAAACCAAGAAGCUGCAAAUGAGAUUACAUGCUGA